RNAcentral lists this ribosomal RNA (253 nucleotides) under uncultured bacterium. RNAcentral's name for it is "partial 16S ribosomal RNA". It matches the Rfam family "Bacterial small subunit ribosomal RNA", at positions 524 to 776 of the family's 1533-position model. The record is from RNAcentral.
GACGAACCGUGCGAACGUUGUUCGGAAUCACUGGGCUUAAAGGGCGCGUAGGCGGGCUGCCGCGUCCGGGGUGAAAUCCCACGGCUCAACCGUGGAACUGCCUCGGAUACGGGCGGUCUUGAGGGGGGUAGGGGCACGCGGAACUGUGGGUGGAGCGGUGAAAUGCGUUGAUAUCCACAGGAACUCCGGUGGCGAAGGCGGCGUGCUGGACCCCAUCUGACGCUGAGGCGCGAAAGCGUGGGGAGCAAACAGG